RNAcentral lists this non-coding RNA (24 nucleotides) under Arabidopsis thaliana (thale cress). Lineage: Eukaryota; Viridiplantae; Streptophyta; Magnoliopsida; Brassicales; Brassicaceae. The record is from RNAcentral.
AGGGUUAAACACUAUGGGAAUAUC